This 2903-nucleotide ribosomal RNA is filed under the name Escherichia coli 2-210-07_S3_C1. RNAcentral's name for it is "bacterial LSU rRNA". It matches the Rfam family "Bacterial large subunit ribosomal RNA". The record is from RNAcentral. Lineage: Bacteria; Pseudomonadati; Pseudomonadota; Gammaproteobacteria; Enterobacterales; Enterobacteriaceae.
UUAAGCGACUAAGCGUACACGGUGGAUGCCCUGGCAGUCAGAGGCGAUGAAGGACGUGCUAAUCUGCGAUAAGCGUCGGUAAGGUGAUAUGAACCGUUAUAACCGGCGAUUUCCGAAUGGGGAAACCCAGUGUGUUUCGACACACUAUCAUUAACUGAAUCCAUAGGUUAAUGAGGCGAACCGGGGGAACUGAAACAUCUAAGUACCCCGAGGAAAAGAAAUCAACCGAGAUUCCCCCAGUAGCGGCGAGCGAACGGGGAGCAGCCCAGAGCCUGAAUCAGUAUGUGUGUUAGUGGAAGCGUCUGGAAAGGCGCGCGAUACAGGGUGACAGCCCCGUACACAAAAAUGCACAUGCUGUGAGCUCGAUGAGUAGGGCGGGACACGUGGUAUCCUGUCUGAAUAUGGGGGGACCAUCCUCCAAGGCUAAAUACUCCUGACUGACCGAUAGUGAACCAGUACCGUGAGGGAAAGGCGAAAAGAACCCCGGCGAGGGGAGUGAAAAAGAACCUGAAACCGUGUACGUACAAGCAGUGGGAGCACGCUUAGGCGUGUGACUGCGUACCUUUUGUAUAAUGGGUCAGCGACUUAUAUUCUGUAGCAAGGUUAACCGAAUAGGGGAGCCGAAGGGAAACCGAGUCUUAACUGGGCGUUAAGUUGCAGGGUAUAGACCCGAAACCCGGUGAUCUAGCCAUGGGCAGGUUGAAGGUUGGGUAACACUAACUGGAGGACCGAACCGACUAAUGUUGAAAAAUUAGCGGAUGACUUGUGGCUGGGGGUGAAAGGCCAAUCAAACCGGGAGAUAGCUGGUUCUCCCCGAAAGCUAUUUAGGUAGCGCCUCGUGAAUUCAUCUCCGGGGGUAGAGCACUGUUUCGGCAAGGGGGUCAUCCCGACUUACCAACCCGAUGCAAACUGCGAAUACCGGAGAAUGUUAUCACGGGAGACACACGGCGGGUGCUAACGUCCGUCGUGAAGAGGGAAACAACCCAGACCGCCAGCUAAGGUCCCAAAGUCAUGGUUAAGUGGGAAACGAUGUGGGAAGGCCCAGACAGCCAGGAUGUUGGCUUAGAAGCAGCCAUCAUUUAAAGAAAGCGUAAUAGCUCACUGGUCGAGUCGGCCUGCGCGGAAGAUGUAACGGGGCUAAACCAUGCACCGAAGCUGCGGCAGCGACACUAUGUGUUGUUGGGUAGGGGAGCGUUCUGUAAGCCUGUGAAGGUGUGCUGUGAGGCAUGCUGGAGGUAUCAGAAGUGCGAAUGCUGACAUAAGUAACGAUAAAGCGGGUGAAAAGCCCGCUCGCCGGAAGACCAAGGGUUCCUGUCCAACGUUAAUCGGGGCAGGGUGAGUCGACCCCUAAGGCGAGGCCGAAAGGCGUAGUCGAUGGGAAACAGGUUAAUAUUCCUGUACUUGGUGUUACUGCGAAGGGGGGACGGAGAAGGCUAUGUUGGCCGGGCGACGGUUGUCCCGGUUUAAGCGUGUAGGCUGGUUUUCCAGGCAAAUCCGGAAAAUCAAGGCUGAGGCGUGAUGACGAGGCACUACGGUGCUGAAGCAACAAAUGCCCUGCUUCCAGGAAAAGCCUCUAAGCAUCAGGUAACAUCAAAUCGUACCCCAAACCGACACAGGUGGUCAGGUAGAGAAUACCAAGGCGCUUGAGAGAACUCGGGUGAAGGAACUAGGCAAAAUGGUGCCGUAACUUCGGGAGAAGGCACGCUGAUAUGUAGGUGAAGUCCCUCGCGGAUGGAGCUGAAAUCAGUCGAAGAUACCAGCUGGCUGCAACUGUUUAUUAAAAACACAGCACUGUGCAAACACGAAAGUGGACGUAUACGGUGUGACGCCUGCCCGGUGCCGGAAGGUUAAUUGAUGGGGUUAGCCGCAAGGCGAAGCUCUUGAUCGAAGCCCCGGUAAACGGCGGCCGUAACUAUAACGGUCCUAAGGUAGCGAAAUUCCUUGUCGGGUAAGUUCCGACCUGCACGAAUGGCGUAAUGAUGGCCAGGCUGUCUCCACCCGAGACUCAGUGAAAUUGAACUCGCUGUGAAGAUGCAGUGUACCCGCGGCAAGACGGAAAGACCCCGUGAACCUUUACUAUAGCUUGACACUGAACAUUGAGCCUUGAUGUGUAGGAUAGGUGGGAGGCUUAGAAGUGUGGACGCCAGUCUGCAUGGAGCCGACCUUGAAAUACCACCCUUUAAUGUUUGAUGUUCUAACGUUGACCCGUAAUCCGGGUUGCGGACAGUGUCUGGUGGGUAGUUUGACUGGGGCGGUCUCCUCCUAAAGAGUAACGGAGGAGCACGAAGGUUGGCUAAUCCUGGUCGGACAUCAGGAGGUUAGUGCAAUGGCAUAAGCCAGCUUGACUGCGAGCGUGACGGCGCGAGCAGGUGCGAAAGCAGGUCAUAGUGAUCCGGUGGUUCUGAAUGGAAGGGCCAUCGCUCAACGGAUAAAAGGUACUCCGGGGAUAACAGGCUGAUACCGCCCAAGAGUUCAUAUCGACGGCGGUGUUUGGCACCUCGAUGUCGGCUCAUCACAUCCUGGGGCUGAAGUAGGUCCCAAGGGUAUGGCUGUUCGCCAUUUAAAGUGGUACGCGAGCUGGGUUUAGAACGUCGUGAGACAGUUCGGUCCCUAUCUGCCGUGGGCGCUGGAGAACUGAGGGGGGCUGCUCCUAGUACGAGAGGACCGGAGUGGACGCAUCACUGGUGUUCGGGUUGUCAUGCCAAUGGCACUGCCCGGUAGCUAAAUGUGGAAGAGAUAAGUGCUGAAAGCAUCUAAGCACGAAACUUGCCCCGAGAUGAGUUCUCCCUGACUCCUUGAGAGUCCUGAAGGAACGUUGAAGACGACGACGUUGAUAGGCCGGGUGUGUAAGCGCAGCGAUGCGUUGAGCUAACCGGUACUAAUGAACCGUGAGGCUUAACCUU